UACGUAGGUGGCAAGCGUUGUCCGGAAUUAUUGGGCGUAAAGCGCGCGCAGGUGGUUUCUUAAGUCUGAUGUGAAAGCCCACGGCUCAACCGUGGAGGGUCAUUGGAAACUGGGGAACUUGAGUGCAGAAGAGGAAAGUGGAAUUCCACGUGUAGCGGUGAAAUGCGUAGAGAUGUGGAGGAACACCAGUGGCGAAGGCGGCUCUUUGGUCUGUAACUGACGCUGAGGCGCGAAAGCGUGGGGAGCGAACAGG
This 253-nucleotide ribosomal RNA is filed under the name uncultured bacterium. RNAcentral's name for it is "partial 16S ribosomal RNA". It matches the Rfam family "Bacterial small subunit ribosomal RNA", at positions 524 to 776 of the family's 1533-position model. The record is from RNAcentral.